UACGUAGGGGGCAAGCGUUAUCCGGAUUCACUGGGUGUAAAGGGAGCGUAGACGGCGACGCAAGUCUGGAGUGAAAGCCCGGGGCCCAACCCCGGGACUGCUCUGGAAACUGCGUCGCUGGAGUACGGGAGGGGCAGGCGGAAUUCCUAGUGUAGCGGUGAAAUGCGUAGAUAUUAGGAGGAACACCGGUGGCGAAGGCGGCCUGCUGGACUGUGACUGACGUUGAGGCCCGAAGGCGUGGGGAGCAAACAGG
Molecule: ribosomal RNA, 253 nt
Filed under: uncultured bacterium
Lineage: Bacteria
Description: partial 16S ribosomal RNA
Rfam family: Bacterial small subunit ribosomal RNA
Source: RNAcentral